CGGGCAGGUGAGGUUCGUUAGCCAUGGUAGGCAAUUCACCUAGGAGAGCAAACUCCGAACAAUAAACCCGGGCAGGUUGGGCUCGUGAGCCGUCAUAGGUAAUACACCUAGGAGAGCAAACUCCGAACAAUAAACCCGGGCAGGUGGAGGUCGUUAGCGAAAGCAAUUCAUCUAGGAGAGCAAACUCCGAUUACAAACCCGGGCAGGUGGAGGUCGUUAGCGAAAGCAGUUCACCUAGGAGAGCAAACUCCGAUUACAAACCCGGGCAGGUGAGGUUCGUUAGCCGUGGUAGGCAAUUCACCUAGGAGAGCAAACUCCGAACACUAAACCCGGGCAGGUUGGGCUCGUGAGCCGUCAUAGGCAAUACACCUAGGAGAGCAAACUCCGAACAAUAAACCCGGGCAGGUUGGGCUCGUGAGCCGUCAUAGGUAAUACACCUAGGAGAGCAAACUUCGAACAAUAAACCCGGGCAGGUUGGGCUCGUGAGCCGUCAUAGGUAAUACACCUAGGAGAGCAAACUCCGAUCAUAAAACCCGGGCAGGUGGAGCUCGUCAGCCGUGGUAGGCAGUCUGCCUAGGAGAGCAAACUCCGAACAAUAAACCCGGGCAGGUGGAGCUCGUCAGCCGUGGUAGGCAGUCUGCCUAGGAGAGCAAACUCCGAACAAUAAACCCGGGCAGGUGGAGCUCGUCAGCCGUGGUAGGCAGUCUGCCUAGGAGAGCAAACUCCGAACAAUAAACCCGGGCAGGUGGAGCUCGUCAGCCGUGGUAGGCAGUCUGCCUAGGAGAGCAAACUCCGAACAAUAAACCGGGGCUUGUGGUGCUCGUUAGAUGUCGUAGACAAUCCACGUGAUGGGAACACCAAAGAGAAGGAAAAUAAAAAGGAACAUCUGAAAAAGGAAAAUAUAGUAACAAAACAUCAAGAAAAUAAAAUAAAAAAUACAGAUCAUCCACCUUCAGGCCCUAACAUCUCUAAAAUUAUGGGUGAGUCUUUUCUGGGGAGAAAGAGGCUCAUCCAGACCAAGGAACAUCAAAAAGGGAUGAUAUAGAAAGGAACACCAAAAAAAUGGGAAAAAGAGAACAAAACAUCGCAAAAGAAAAUUAACAGCAAUAACAGAACAACGUCAAGAAAAGUAACAUACAAAGAAACAUCAUCCACCAUUCGGCCCCAAACUAACAUCACCAAAAUUAUGGGUGGGUCUCUUCUGGGAGGAAAGCGGCUCACCCAGACCAACGAAGAACAUCAACAAGAGGAUGAUAUGAAAUAAAAGAACAUUAAAAACACGAAGAAAAGAAAUAAGAAGAAAAAGAACAGAAAAAAAACAUCGGAAAAGAAAAACAAGAAGAAAACACAUCAAGAGAAGAAAAAUAUAAGAAACAUCAUCCACCUUUCGGCCCCUAACUAACAUCACCAAAAUUAUGGGUGGGUCUCUUCUGGGAGGAAAGCGGCUCACCCAGACCAAUGAACAUCAACAAGAGGAUGAUAUGAAAUAAAAGAACAUCAAAAAAGAAAAACAACAGCAAGAAAACAAAGAAAAAGAUAAAGAAAAGAAAAGGAAAAAGAAACAAAAAGAAAAAGAAAAACACCAAAAUAAAAUAAAACAAAAACAAAAAAAUAAUCCAAAUAAAUAAAUAAAUAAACAAAUACAGAA
Molecule: long non-coding RNA, 1648 nt
Organism: Eriocheir sinensis (Chinese mitten crab)
Lineage: Eukaryota; Metazoa; Arthropoda; Malacostraca; Decapoda; Varunidae
Exons: 3
Source: RefSeq, a predicted model, not a curated record